AUACGGAGGAUGCAAGCGUUAUCCGGAUUUAUUGGGUUUAAAGGGUGCGUAGGCGGGACUGUAAGUCAGGGGUGAAAUACUGCAGCUUAACUGUAGCAUUGCCUUUGAAACUGCCGUUCUUGAGUACAGUUGAGGUAGGCGGAAUGUGGUGUGUAGCGGUGAAAUGCAUAGAUAUACCACAGAACGCCGAUUGCGAAGGCAGCUUACUAAGCUGUUACUGACGCUGAGGCACGAAAGCGUGGGGAUCAAACAGGAUUAGAUACCCUGGUAGUCCACGCUGUAAACGAUGAUUACUGGUUGUUAGCGAUAUAUAGCUAGUGACUGAGCGAAAGCAUUAAGUAAUCCACCUGGGGAGUACGUCGGCAACGAUGAAACUUAAAGGAAUUGGCGGGG
RNAcentral lists this ribosomal RNA (393 nucleotides) under uncultured bacterium. RNAcentral's name for it is "partial 16S ribosomal RNA". It matches the Rfam family "Bacterial small subunit ribosomal RNA", at positions 523 to 918 of the family's 1533-position model. The record is from RNAcentral.